UACAGAGGUCUCAAGCGUUGUUCGGAAUUACUGGGCGUAAAGGGUGCGCAGGCCGCGCGGGCAGUCAAAUGUGUAAUUCCGGGGCUCAACCCCUGCACUGCGCUUGAUACUUCCGCGCUCGAGCUUUGGAGAGGAGUCUGGAAUUCUCGGUGUAGCAGUGAAAUGCGUGGAUAUCGAGAAGAACACGUAGGGCGUAGGCAAGACUCUGGACAAAUGCUGACGCUCAUGCACGAAGGCUAGGGUAGCGAACGGG
RNAcentral lists this ribosomal RNA (253 nucleotides) under uncultured bacterium. Its description in RNAcentral is "partial 16S ribosomal RNA". It matches the Rfam family "Bacterial small subunit ribosomal RNA", at positions 524 to 776 of the family's 1533-position model. The record is from RNAcentral.